AGUUUGAUCCUGGCUCAGGAUGAACGCUAGCUACAGGCUUAACACAUGCAAGUCGAGGGGCAGCAUGGUCUUAGCUUGCUAAGGCUGAUGGCGACCGGCGCACGGGUGAGUAACACGUAUCCAACCUGCCGUCUACUCUUGGCCAGCCUUCUGAAAGGAAGAUUAAUCCAGGAUGGCAUCAUGAGUUCACAUGUCCGCAUGAUUAAAGGUAUUUUCCGGUAGACGAUGGGGAUGCGUUCCAUUAGAUAGUAGGCGGGGUAACGGCCCACCUAGUCAACGAUGGAUAGGGGUUCUGAGAGGAAGGUCCCCCACAUUGGAACUGAGACACGGUCCAAACUCCUACGGGAGGCAGCAGUGAGGAAUAUUGGUCAAUGGGCGAUGGCCUGAACCAGCCAAGUAGCGUGAAGGAUGACUGCCCUAUGGGUUGUAAACUUCUUUUAUAAAGGAAUAAAGUCGGGUAUGCAUACCCGUUUGCAUGUACUUUAUGAAUAAGGAUCGGCUAACUCCGUGCCAGCAGCCGCGGUAAUACGGAGGAUCCGAGCGUUAUCCGGAUUUAUUGGGUUUAAAGGGAGCGUAGAUGGAUGUUUAAGUCAGUUGUGAAAGUUUGCGGCUCAACCGUAAAAUUGCAGUUGAUACUGGAUGUCUUGAGUGCAGUUGAGGCAGGCGGAAUUCGUGGUGUAGCGGUGAAAUGCUUAGAUAUCACGAAGAACUCCGAUUGCGAAGGCAGCCUGCUAAGCUGCAACUGACAUUGAGGCUCGAAAGUGUGGGUAUCAAACAGGAUUAGAUACCCUGGUAGUCCACACGGUAAACGAUGAAUACUCGCUGUUUGCGAUAUACGGCAAGCGGCCAAGCGAAAGCGUUAAGUAUUCCACCUGGGGAGUACGCCGGCAACGGUGAAACUCAAAGGAAUUGACGGGGGCCCGCACAAGCGGAGGAACAUGUGGUUUAAUUCGAUGAUACGCGAGGAACCUUACCCGGGCUUAAAUUGCACUCGAAUGAUCCGGAAACGGUUCAGCUAGCAAUAGCGAGUGUGAAGGUGCUGCAUGGUUGUCGUCAGCUCGUGCCGUGAGGUGUCGGCUUAAGUGCCAUAACGAGCGCAACCCUUGUUGUCAGUUACUAACAGGUGAUGCUGAGGACUCUGACAAGACUGCCAUCGUAAGAUGUGAGGAAGGUGG
Molecule: ribosomal RNA, 1175 nt
Filed under: uncultured Bacteroides sp.
Lineage: Bacteria; Pseudomonadati; Bacteroidota; Bacteroidia; Bacteroidales; Bacteroidaceae
Description: bacterial SSU rRNA
Rfam family: Bacterial small subunit ribosomal RNA
Source: RNAcentral